CAUAGCUUUAUGAUUAUAUAAAGUAAUUUYUGCCCAAUGAAUUUAAUGGCCGCAGUACCUUGACUGUGCUAAGGUAGCGUAAUAACUUGGCUUUUAAUUGAAGUCGUGAAUGAAAGGGAAAUGGGUAAAUUGUCUCUUAAUUAUUUUAUAAAUUUACUUAUUAGGUGAAAAUUCCUAAAGUUUAUACUAGACGAGAAGACCCUUAGAAUUUUUAGUAUUUUUGUUGGGGCGACAGAGUAACAAAGAACUUACUAGUACUUAUAAUUAAUCAAUAAUAAUAAAAUUACCUAAGGGAUAACAGCAUAAAAUUAAGAUUGUGACCUCGAUGUUGGAUUAGGGAAUGAUAGUAAGCAAUUAUUAAAGUUCUGUUCGAACCCUACGUGAUCU
This 387-nucleotide ribosomal RNA is filed under the name Otoconcha dimidiata. Its description in RNAcentral is "partial large subunit ribosomal RNA". Lineage: Eukaryota; Metazoa; Mollusca; Gastropoda; Stylommatophora; Otoconchidae. The record is from RNAcentral.